GUAAUUUUUCGGUGGCCCAUAUCCACGAACGAUAAUCACUGGUUGGCUCGUGACAGAUCUCCGACAGUAGGCUUAAUCCACGCAUUCUCGCCGCAUUGAUUCUACGUCCGGUCUAGGCCAAUUUAAAUUUUCAGACGGGUCUCUCUCUCUCUAUUCGGAGGCCUGAUUAUACGUCUCGUGCCCGCGAGAGUUACGCGACUCGAAUUUUUUAUUAGCCACCACGAGACGAUAGGGAAGCUGCAUAUAGUUUCGCAAAAUCUUCGAAAAUAAUUCGAUUAAAAUGCAUAUGAGGAGGAAUUAACGUGGACGUGGGGGACUUGCCCCGCUCCUCGUCGAGGUUACUCGCCGUGUGGAGCUGACUCGAUGAUAGAACGGGUCGAUUAGCAACGUUAAAAGGCACCCCGUGGAAUUCGGGAACAGAAAACUAAUUUGAAGAAGCGCGGUUCAAGUUUCGGCUUGUUGCUUUAUUUCUGCACGGAUACUUGCGAUUCGAAUGCUUGGUCAUGAUUAAAACAUGUCUCCCCUCGUCCCUCUUCCAAACAACUCCCUCCUCGGUUGGAUCCGUUUUAAUUGGCCGAGGGGUUGGUUCGGGCUAUUGUCGCGAACGAAAAUUGAACUGUUAGUCAUCUUAAUGGGGACGGUUCGUGGAAUUUAAAUUAAUCGACCCGAGAGAGUAUUACUUAUAAGUUGUCCAGUUUGACAACUUAUUCGAUAUUUAACGAGGAACAUUAGUAUCCUUAAAACACAAUUUAUAAAUUUCAUCCAUGAAUCUAACAUCUUUGAUAAUUUCUUCCUGUGAAUCAACUUCGAACCCGUAAUGAAUGAAUUACACGAAUCAUAAAUUGUUUAUAUAACAAACAGAAUAAUAUACAAGUUUUCAUUUCCGGAUUUGUAUCCCGACAAAGUUGUCGAAUCGAAUCUUCGUUGCACCCUCCAUUAUUCGAAAUCACCCACCACAAAUUAAAACAAAAAUAAAAUACAAAAACAUCCACACGUGUAUCGCUCCACGACCUCGUAAAUAUCACGAAUACAAAUGUUUUCAUCGCGAUUUCCAUAAGAGAAAAGACGGGGAAAGAAGUUGGAGGUUAGAAGAGGAUUCCCGAUACGUGGAAGGGAGCCGGUAACUAUUUAUACGAAUUCGUCAUGGGAAAACGUUGCCGAAGGCGAUGCAUCAGAGGCGCGGUGGUGCGUUACCGCUCAAAGCGGUUUUCACCCCGCGGAACGGAGUGACGAUCGCCGGUUAUUAUUGGCGCCAAAGGGCGCCCACGCAAGCGACCCGCCACGCGAUGCGCGAGCGCGAAACCCCGGGCUAAUUCGUUUUUCUUCGUACAACAGAGAGGGGCAAACGUACGACUUUGGCGGCCGCCCAAAACGGAUGAAUUAUAACGGAGGCCGGCGCGGGAUCUCUUGGCACCGGGCUAACGUCUCACGCGAAACGUUAUAAAUUCUCGCGACGCGCUUAACGCGCGAUAAGCCCGCCAGAGUGGAGGAAAUCUCGUGCCACGCGAUAAAAACGCCCGUGUCGGGGCGGCCGUGCCGAGUGUUGGCGGUUAUUGUUGUUGGAUUCGAUUCUUUUUCUUUUUUUUCUUUUUUUCCCCUCCUACCGUCAGGUUCUCUCCGUUUUUUAUUCUCUUAUUCCAGGAUGGGAUUAGGUACGCGAUGGAAUGGGGUACGGAAAUGGAGAUUCGAGAGCGAAGCGUUUUAUUUGCGUUGGCGGGUGGAUGAAUUGAAAUUUGAGAAAGUUGGUCGACGCGGUAUUUAUUUUAAAUGGGAUUGAUCAAUGAUUUUUUGGAAGGUGGAGAAAGUUCUUGUAUUUACGUGUAUAAGAGAUUAAUGUAUGGGUAAUUGAUAUUAUGACGAGUUUAAAUUUAUACAUGACUAAAUAUAAGGAAGAUGGGUAUUAAGGGGUUAUUGUUUAUUAGUUGAUUGAUAAUCAAGAAAGAAAACGCGAUUCUUUUAAGAAGAAAUCAAACAUUGCAUCGAAAACUUCCACCAUUAAAUCAUCUUUAAAAUUAUUCGUAGAAUUUCUGAUUAGGUUCGAUCGAUAAAAAAAUUUCAUCAAGCUCAAAAAUUAGUGCGUCAACCGAGUCGUUGAUGGAAAAUUUCAUUUUAAAUUAUUUCGCAAAUUGGUAAAAAAGAAGAAAUAGUGAUCAAUAGUCGCGUUUCCUCCUAGUAUUAUCAUUCCUUUUUCAAAUUAUUAAUAGAUAAAAAGAAAAAAAUACCGUGUCACGCUUCAUUUUCGAAAAAAAACCCCACGCCAACUACCAUUUCCACGGAACUCGAAACCACUUACCCAUACUUACCCAACUCGAGCACCUGAUUUAUAAUAUUCUCUUCUCGAGGCAAACAUCUCAAAACCCGCGCUCAGACGCCUCUCAGGUUAGUCUUAAAACCUCGCCAGACGAUUUCGCAAUUCGAGAUUGAAAGCGGCUAAACAAAUAAAUGCAUCGAUCAUUAGUACUGGCACGAGAGCGCGGCUCUUCUAUACCGCGUGUGCACACGUGGGCGCUCUCCUACACGUCCCCUGCGUAUAGGUUAUGUUGCGUGCGACUACAAGCGCGCGCGCGCGCGUGUGUGCGUGCCCGUUCGAGCGUGAGCAGACGUCGAGGGAGCGUGGAGUGCCGUGGGACACGAACGAGUAGGCUGAAGAGACGUCGGAAGAGGAAGAGGAGAGACAUGGCACUCACGACUGCGAAUACUCGAGAGAGAGAGAGAGAGGGAGAAGAAGAAGCGACUGCGGAUGAGAGAGAGAGAGAGACGAGCGAGAUCUGGCACCCGUUGACGUGGAUAGAAGAGAGAAGGAGAAGAGCAGCUUAGUCCCACGCGACGGCUCGUGGCUCCUCGUGGCCGACGCGCGUCGCGUCGUCGCGUCGCCCUUUGUCGGGGAUUGAUAGCGAAAUCGGGGAUAAAUCAGAUAGCGUCUCCGCGUUCCGCGUCUCGCGGCCAUUAUGCGCGAGGAACUCGAUGGGUUAGAGUGUUUCUUUUUCUUUUUUUCUUUUCUUUUCUUUUUUUUUUUCUUCCUCCCCUAUUUUUAUGGAACUCCUCUUUGCUUCGUUCUUUUCCCUCGUCGCCUCUUGUGUUGAUAGUGAAAUGGAGCUGUGAAUGUGGGUGGAGGUUCUUUGAACUCGUGGGAAGACGAGGUUCUUUUUUGGUGAGGUUUCAAAGAGGUGUGCUCGAACGUGUGUUUGGAACGUUUUGUAAGAGGCGAUUGAAUGCCGGUUUUUGUCGUCUUUCGAGGAUUUUGAUUAUUCGAGUCGGAAUGGGAUCGAAUUUUGAACGAUUUUCUCGUCAAGGUUGGAAGGAUUAUCGUGAUCUCGGCUCGAUUUAUAGGUUAUCUCUAAUGGCGAUCUCGUUUUUCGACGUGAUCUGCGACAUAACCUAAAAAUUCGCAUCUUUCGAGUUAUACUGUACGAUUAAGAUAAGAAAAUUCAAUUUCACCCAAGUUCCAAUUAAUCCUCUUCGCCUUCCUCCUCGAUUCUCACGGAAGUCCCAUCUAUUUCCCAACUCGAAGACAUCUCAGCCAGGGUAUGUAACCCACGAGGAAAGCCAAAAGCCCACGACGUCCAUUCGUAUGGCGACAUUUGCUCGCGCAACCUCCAAUUAAUGCGGCACGAAGCGGAAAAAACGAGAGGAGAAUAAGAGAAGGCAGAAAGAAACCAGCCAUGAACUUUCAUAAGCGGUUCGUGGGAGAGCGAAGGAGGAGGGCUCCACUUCAUUAGCCCGAUACCACGCGACUGUCGGUGGCUCCCCAUGGCGUGCAACCGUCGCGUCGCUCUCAUUCGCUCUGCCUGCGGAGAAAGGGAAGAAGGCACGGUGGGAACUCGCCUUAAGGUCGCGGCGUUACCGUGCACGGUCGCGUGUGGUUUACGCGCUCCUCCGUUUUGACCUCGUGAAGCGUUUAAAUGGAAAGUUAAGGUAAACGCGCCAAUUAAGGCCGCGCUCGCCGCCGGAUCGCGCGUAGUCGGCGUAGUCAAAGGCUGGGAUCGAGGGCUGUCUAUCCGAGAUGGAUCGUCGGGAUAACGGAAUAAGUCGAUCGAGAUGGAAGCAUCGAUCUCGAUCGAGCGGCGAGAUCGGCGGAAACACGUGGAGAUGAGAACGCGACCUUUUAGGUUAGGUUUCAGGAAGUUUCAAGAUAAUUUAAAUUUAGUUGUAAUACUCUGGAUAUUUAUGCAAGAUAUAAAAUUGUUAUGAAGGAUUAUUAAAGAAAUGGAGCUUCAAUGGAAAUUUGCCUUUUUUAAAUAUCCGCGUCUUGAUUUGUCAUGCUCCGUGAAUUCUUCUUGUUAACGAAGAAUGGUAGAGAAAAAAAGGAGGAUAACCUAGAAAAGGAAACGAAGGAUUCACUCGUUACGCUUCCUUACGACAAACGUGAGAACAAGUUGAAAAAUGUACUUGCAUGGACAGAAUAGAAUUAACAAGUAUUCUCGUCUUCGUCGUAUAAGGAUCGGUAUAUAAUAACAAUUCAAAGAGUUUAAUAAUCAAUGUACAACAAACUCGUUUCCUAGUAAUCAUUCGUGCCAAAACUAAUUCUAAAUAAACAAAAAAAAUAAAGUAAAAGUAUUAAGAAUUAUAUUCAGCACAUCUUCAGACACGUACGAGCUGUUCCAUUCAAUUUAAAUCCCCGUUCGAUUCCCUUCGCAUCGAAUCCCCGAACGCCGAUUGCCUUCCGUCAGCGAUUCCUAAGCGGCGAAGAGACGGCCUCGAGAGAUCUCGGUUCAGAAACGCGUGGCGUUCCACGAAGCGACGUGCGUGGCUGCCGCCGGCACGCCGCGCGAACGUGUUAAGUGUUAAUUCAGCUGAAUCAAUAUACACUCCGUGGAAUUUUGAAUCGGAUUCGCGCCACGCGCGCGUGGGCGCAUCUCCGCAGGAAAUAGCGCGCCUGGAGCCAGCCUUGGGAUGGAAGGAACGGGCAACGGAGCGGUUGAGUGACACGAGAGACUGCGGCCUCCACGGGAGCGUGUACGCGUUGUAUCUCAAUAUCUUGAUCUUACGUUUACUAAACUCCUACAACGGUUCCCGCCAUGAAAUACGACGCGGUCGGCCAGAGAAGCUUUACUUAUAACGGCCUGGACAAAUUACGACUGGCGCGUGACUAAAAUGGUCACGCCGGACGAAUUGUCGAUCGUUAACACCUCCGUGCCAGCGAGCGCGCCAGCACUAUUUGCAUGAGGUUGGCUUUUACCAGCGCGCAAAAAUAGGAGGCAGGAAAAAUUGACGGGGAAAAUGCCAUUUGUCGUGGGCAUUCGAUCUGGUACUGCAUAUAUAUGUAUAUGUAUACAUGUAUAUAUUUAUAUAUGAAAAACAUGAAAAUUUUUGAAUGCAAUACUUGAAACAUUCAGCCAACAUGAUCUUAACCGAUUCCAUUUAUUGCGAUUUAUUUGUUACGAGAAUGGAAAUAGGAUUAAAGCUAUUAUUAUUCAUAAUCUGGCGAUAAAAAUGUGAUAAAUUGAAUUGUUAGAUAAAUAUGUUAAUCUAUAUAAUUAAUAUUAAUGUAUUAUGAACGGAUUUUAAAGGAAAAAGACUAAUAAUUAUUACAAAGAAACAUUUUUAUUUUUGUUAAAAAUAGUUUCUACUAGAAAUUAAAGAUAUGAAUAAAUAAUGGAUAUAAAUAUGAAAAUUAAUAUGAAAAUACGUAUCUUCCUGAUGAAUAUUAUACAUGUACAAAUCCUUAGAAAAUUUUCUCAAUAUUGUAAAAAAUCUUAUUCAAGAA
Molecule: long non-coding RNA, 5707 nt
Organism: Apis cerana (Asiatic honeybee)
Lineage: Eukaryota; Metazoa; Arthropoda; Insecta; Hymenoptera; Apidae
Source: RefSeq, a predicted model, not a curated record